RNAcentral lists this non-coding RNA (21 nucleotides) under Caenorhabditis elegans. The record is from RNAcentral. Lineage: Eukaryota; Metazoa; Nematoda; Chromadorea; Rhabditida; Rhabditidae.
UUAUAUGGAACAUCGAAAAAA